This 890-nucleotide long non-coding RNA is filed under the name Diabrotica virgifera virgifera (western corn rootworm). RNAcentral describes it as "uncharacterized LOC126892178". Lineage: Eukaryota; Metazoa; Arthropoda; Insecta; Coleoptera; Chrysomelidae. The record is from RNAcentral.
AAUACUAGGUCUGUUCCUUUGUUUUUUAGUGUUACACUUUUGAGUGUAAGUGUACGAAAUUCUAUGGACAUUUGAGUGUAAAAUGACAGCGGAUGUGACAGCGGCUCAUGACAGCGGACAGUAUUAAACGAAAAUUAUCGGUGUGCCAAUCAAGCAAAGGGACAAGGAACUUCCGAAUAUGGCCUAACUGGGGGCACAUAACAUAACAUAACCUAAUCCUAAUAUUUACAUUUGUAAAGAAUAUCCUGUUUGUUUUUAUUGUCGAUUGUGCAGCGAAAUUGUGUGCAGCAAAUCAAAUAUAAAGUAGUUUAUCGCCUACAGAACUGAAUUAGUCCAUAGCAGUUAUCAGUUUUUCUUUCUUGGGAAGCUUAUACAUGUAACUUGUAUCGUUGUAAAUUGUGGGAGUAGGGCAGACAGGGAAAAGUCUUAUUUUGUACUGUUCCCAAGGCUCCCCAUGCAAUACAUUUAAAUGAAUUAUCCAAACAAAGCCGGGGACAAUGGAUAAAAGCCACAAGAAGAACAGAUAUAAGGGAACUAAAAUUAAAAUAUGAAAAGUAAACAUUUUAUAAGUGGAACAACCACCAGAUAUUUAAAAGGUAUAAAAAGAAGAAACUGCUGGAAUUUCAAAACAAAUGUGUUUGACUAGUAAAGAUUUGGAUAAAUAACAGGAGUUACUUUGGGCUAUAGCUACGUGCAGAUUUAUUUCCUUGUGGCUUCCUAUGUUAAUUCUUAUUAAUUAUACACUUAAAUAUGUUUUUAGUCUCAGGAAGAUUUUAUAUUUGAUUAUUUUUGAAUAAACAUUAUUAUUAUUAUUACCUUAAUUUCCAUUAAAUAAAUUAACUGUAAUCAAUAAAGUAAUCGUUUAAUUGUUAAUAAAUUAUCAAGUAUGA